CCUUCGGGANCAGGGGAGACAGCGUGGUGCUAUUGGUUGUCGUCAGCUCGUGUCGUGAGAUGUUGGGUUAAGUCCCGCAACGAGCUGCAACCCCUAUCCUUCUAGUAGCCAGCGUUUCGGGUGGGCACUCUGGGAGAGACUGCCAGGGGAUAACCUGGAGGAAGGUGGGGAUGACGUCNAAUCACUCAUGCCCCUUAUGACCUGGGGCUACACCCNUGCUACAAUUGGCGUAACACCCAGGGGACACGCGAACCCUGCGAGGGGUGAGCAAAUCCCAAAAAUAACGUCUCAGUUCGGAUUUGUAGUCUGCAACUCUGACUACAUGAAGCUGGAGAUCGCUAGUAAUCGCGAAUCAGAAUGUCGCGGUGAAUACGUUCCCGGGCCUUGUAC
RNAcentral lists this ribosomal RNA (390 nucleotides) under uncultured bacterium. Its description in RNAcentral is "bacterial SSU rRNA". It matches the Rfam family "Bacterial small subunit ribosomal RNA", at positions 1017 to 1386 of the family's 1533-position model. The record is from RNAcentral.